CCAAAAUGCAAAAGAGGAGGAGGCAUCCCACAUAGCUGAGAAUUCAGUAAAGGAGUCAGAAAUGUGGAGAAAGACGUAAAAGAAGAAGAAGAAGAAGAAGAAGAAGAAGAAGAAGAAGAAGAAGAAGAAGAAGAAGAAGAAACAAGGGGAUCUCCUUGGAUUUUCUCUGUCCCCGCAUUAAGCUGGGGACUCUUACAUUGCCAUGAAGACUGGGGAGAAAGGACAGAAGGAGAAGAGCAGCACGUCUCCUGGGAUCAUAGGAGCACAGUGCUGGCACCCAGCCCAGCCAGACCUGGAGCUGCAGCACCCUGAGCACCACAGCUGAGGGGAGCAGUGCCUGCCCAUGCCUCUGGGCACUCGCCCAGCAAACCUCGCAGCUGGAACACCAGUAUUCCAGAGGUGAUUGUGGUCUAAUGGGUGAAAUCUCCAGGGAUCAGCUUCCCAAAGAGCAUGCAGAUUUCUCAGAAGGAAGUAUGGUAUAAAGAACCUCAGGCUCCAAACCACCAACCAGAUAAAUCAUUGGUUGUGUCCUAAAUCGAUACCAGAAAGAUCAAAAAAUUGGAAGUCCAAGGAUAUUCGUGAUGAUGUAGAAUUUUGACAGGAAAUGUUGUCUGUGCUUCCCAAAGGUCACUGGAACACAGAGCUUAACACAUAUUUAUCUGUCAUCUCAGCUGUCAUCUCAGACAGAGAUUAACUCAUUUGGCUCCUUUAGUCCAGCACUUGACCAACCCUGACCUGUGCCAUGGAUGCCUUGACUUGUAUCCACUACAGCAGCCCCACAGCUGCUUGUUUCCUGCUUCAGAACAAGCUCAGCUGCAUUGCCUGAAUGAAGCAAUAUUGACUAACAACAACAACAAAAAGUAAAUUUGGCAAUAAGAAGCAGGAGCUGGAUUGACAACUGUGAUAGACAAUCCAAUGAAUAUCUUCAGUCCAUAGAUGGUCUAAAGAAGAUCAAGAACUCCAUUAGUUCUAUUUUGCUAUGCAAUUCUGCAUAGUGGUUUGAAAGAUGAAAAAGACUGAGUAUGUAUAUUGAGUGUCUUUGUAAACAAUUUAUUAAUACUCAGAUAUGAGUAGCGUCAAUACCACUCACACACCAAAAAAAAAUCUGUUUUAUAAUUUUGUCUGCUGUCUUCAAUAAGUUUACUGUGAAAAUGUUACUUUCACAUAAAGGAAAGGAUUAUAUUCAAAAGGUUGGCACUUACAUUUAAAAUACCAUUAAAAUCAUUAGCUUACAUCACUGUGUUUUUUAAAAAAGAGACAUUAGCCCCACUAAGCAUUGUCAGGAAAAUUUAUUUUAAACGUCCAAAUAGAACUUUAGUGCAGGCAAUCACUCAAACUGCCCACAUAUUCUUUACUUCUAAAUUGCUUGGUGGCUUCCAGGGAAGUGAUGCACAUCAUCCUGCACCCUGGCAUUGCUGUGGGAGCUUGGAAGAGCUCAGGAAAGUCCAAACAUUACCAAGUUCAAUAUUUAUUGCUCUGCAUUCAAAUAAACUCUAUUCAUCUGUGUGUUCAGCCAGUUUAAGGACAUGUAGCUAAUAUAGUUUCUGUCUCUUUAAGUGCUGUUUACAAGUCAUAACUUAUCUGUGGAGCAGUGUAACUAUAAAGAAUACACUUUUUGUUACCAAAAGAAUUUUAUCUUACUUUUAACUUUACAAAAGCACUACAGGACUAAAAACAGGAAAUCGUGGCAUAUCCCUUUGAACUUCUUGCUCUGUGUUCAUCCUCCUUUAACACUCUACUACCUCAUCUGACAUCCAGGAACCCUAGUGAAAAAAAAAAAAAAUUAUUGUUACCAGAGAAAAAAUGUCUGUCCUGAGAAAACCCUGCCCUGGCAUGCACAGGAUAUUUCCCUUUUGAGAAGCAUUUCUGAGAAUUGUUUUUAGAUCUGAAAACUAUUUCCAUUUGAUCAUUAAAAUGUAAUUAAGUCUUCAUCACAUAUAGAAUACAUAUGAAUAUGUUGACAUAUGAAUCAUGUCAACAAAAUGCGAGUUCAGAUCUGCCUUACUUUACAACUAGAAAGUUCUACCUUUUACAUGAGUCUUCAUUCUACACUGAUAAAAAAACAUGGCAUAAAUUUGAACUGAAAUG
Molecule: long non-coding RNA, 2088 nt
Organism: Motacilla alba alba
Lineage: Eukaryota; Metazoa; Chordata; Aves; Passeriformes; Motacillidae
Exons: 4
Source: RefSeq, a predicted model, not a curated record